GGCGCAUUCAGUGAUGCCACCGCAUAUGGUCUCAGGGUCGAAUCACCCCUGACAACGAUGCCCAUUAACCAUCGCUCGGCGGGAUACAUGGGACGGAACCCAAAGAUGUUUCGCCGAUCGAACAGAAGCGGACAUGCACGCCCUCACCCGCCUCCGCCUGGGCUCCGCCGAUGAGGAGGAAGCCGUCUCGGGCGCACCGCCAAUCAGCACUCGGCCCGGAUCCGGACCCUUGGUGAAGCCGCUGUGGUCUCUGCUUCCGUCUUCAGCGGUUCCUCCCAAUGCCGCUGUAUGAUGGAGAGUCUGGAUGAUCGGUGCUCCCCGAAGAGAUGGUCUCUGGGAAGUUGAUGGCUACAACAUCUCAGCAAACAUCACACAACCUGCUAACUCUUUGUCCACCACAUGCACCUGACGAAAAGAUGCACCAUUGGCAAUCAUCAUGAUGAACUUCUGCCAUCUCUGUUAAAGCUCUUCUAUCUGCAUAACCAUACGUAAGUGCUUCUAUGGCCAGUUGAGUGUUUUAUAUAUUAUAAGUAUCAGGUUGUAUGUUCUUUACAGUUUAACACAGUUAUGGAAGCUAGAAUUGCUGAUCUUUCCAACGUGUCAAUAUGAUUUGUGAAUGACGCAUGCAACGCAUGUACACUGUGAUUACAACAAAUUUAUUAUGCUUUCUUGACAAGAUUCUUGUUUUCUUUUUGUGGGAACACAUUUUAUUGACGCAUUUUGCUUUUUUUGCCUUUUGCACUGAAGGAAUCAUGCGAUUGAGGUAGACUAGAGACUCCUUGUUUAGAUUCCAAUCGUGGAAAAAAAAGGUUUGUGAUGUAUUUUCAUAACAAAUAUUCUUUUACCAAGGUUAACAUUAACAAUGAAUAAAUUGUUAUUAUAAACAUGACACUGAAGUGUCAUGUUUAUAGAAUAUUCAAAAUCAAUACUCGAGGAUGGUCUUUUACCAAGGUUAAGCAAUUGGUAUUUCCAUUGGAAUUAGAAUUUUGGGGAGGAUCCUAUUUUGUGGUAACUCAUGAGUUUGUUUCAAAAUAGGAAAGCCUUUCGCUAGGUUUUUUUCUUGAAUCAAUUAUCAUAAUUACAGUAAAAUAUGUGGGUUACAACUUGCAAGUAUCCCAAAAGGUAAGUUGUCAUUUUCAUGGAUCUAUAUAUGAAAAUUUAAUAUGUAUUUUUGUGUUUUACAUUCUUUUUUUUUUCCUAUGGUGCAGUCCGUGAAAGUCUUAAGAAUGCACUCCUGAUAUUGUUGAUUUGAGGUCACAGUAUUGGGAGGCUUCUUUCUGUUUUUGUAUUUCUGAAGCAAUAUCAUAACUAUUUUUUCGUAAAAACCAAAUUUGAUCAUUUAUCCUGGUUCUCUCAAGCAAAAGGUAAACAUAGUUGUCGACAUUGAGUAAAUUUAAAUCAGUUCACUCAAUACAUAUUGAGAUUAAAUCUCAAAAGGAUUAU
This is a long non-coding RNA of Musa acuminata AAA Group (dessert banana), 1443 nucleotides long. RefSeq lists it as uncharacterized. NCBI's taxonomy places the organism in Eukaryota, Viridiplantae, Streptophyta, Magnoliopsida, Zingiberales, Musaceae. The transcript is spliced from 3 exons. The record is from RefSeq and is a predicted model, not a curated record.